UACGUAGGUGGCGAGCGUUGUCCGGAUUUACUGGGCGUAAAGGGAGCGUAGGCGGACUUUUAAGUGAGAUGUGAAAUACCCGGGCUUAACUUGGGUGCUGCAUUUCAAACUGGAAGUCUAGAGUGCAGGAGAGGAGAAUGGAAUUCCUAGUGUAGCGGUGAAAUGCGUAGAGAUUAGGAAGAACACCAGUGGCGAAGGCGAUUCUCUGGACUGUAACUGACGCUGAGGCUCGAAAAGCGUGGGGAGCAAACAGGAUUAGAUACCCGCGUAGU
This 272-nucleotide ribosomal RNA is filed under the name uncultured prokaryote. Its description in RNAcentral is "partial 16S ribosomal RNA". It matches the Rfam family "Bacterial small subunit ribosomal RNA", at positions 524 to 794 of the family's 1533-position model. The record is from RNAcentral.